Harpia harpyja (harpy eagle) is the source of this 578-nucleotide long non-coding RNA. RefSeq lists it as uncharacterized. The transcript has 3 exons. The record is from RefSeq and is a predicted model, not a curated record. Lineage: Eukaryota; Metazoa; Chordata; Aves; Accipitriformes; Accipitridae.
UUUCCCCUGCAGCCUGUGAAGAACCCAUGCUGGAGCAGAUGGAUAUUCUGGAAGGACUGCAGCUAAUGCAGAAUCCAUGCUGGAGCAGAUUUUCCUUGACAGGAGUUGUGGCCUGUGGAGACCCCAUGCUGGAGUAGAGGAAAAGGGAUGUAGCUCUAUGAUAUGUGUCCUUUGUCAGUCAUUCCUGACCCUACACAGCAGUUGGUGACUUCGUUUCUUGCCAGACCUCUUAGCAGCUUCACUGAGCCAUGGACUUGGAGCCUGCAAGCUGUCAGCAGGACUUGCAUUUCUUCCUCAGCCUCACAGGCAAGGUGAGGCUGUGCUGGGGAUUGGGGACUUGCAAAGCCCUCACAGGAUUGGAAGUAGGUUAUCUCAGAUCAUCCCUGCUUGGCAGGGUCUUCUUGGAGAGACUGCCUCGACACAAAGGCUUCCUCUGUCCCCACCAGACUUGGAUGAGCUGGGAGUCCUGGAAGCUCUGGGUCUGUCACUGGGACUGUUUAUGUCAAACUGAUUGGUUUUCUGGGACCUGGGCAAUAUGAAAUGAAAAGUCAGUUUCAGAAGAGGGAAAACAGUUCAAA